GUCAGCAUCAGGCAUUGUCAUCGUUGACACGGUGGCCACCUGGGUCCCUGGAGGAAGGUAGCAACAUCCUACUCAUCUCCAUACUCUCGCCCUGGCAGGUCUCUGGCACCUGGUAGGUGCCUCAUGAAUGUCUCCGAUGUUUGAUGAGUGGUUGGUAAAGGUCAGUACACCUCCUAGACCGUGGGGCUGGUGAAAUGCUCCCGUUGCACGAAGCGUUUCCCUCUAACUUGCCGGUUUGCUGGAUAAAGUUCAACGGACGCCACAGAAUAUGGAGCAUCAUCUACAAAUUCAGAGGCAGCCCUCUUCUCCGCCUUCAGCCUUGACAUUCAAGGACAGACACAGGGCUCCUGGAAGGAGACGCAGAGGCAAGGCUUCUGGGGGUGAGGGUGUUGUUCCCUCGCUCUCACAAAGGGCACUUCCUUAUCAGAGAAAGGAUGUGGAUGCCUGUGGACCCCCAGAGCGCGCCCGAGGUCAGAGGAGAGAGGGGCCUUCAUGUUAUGAUCGAGAGCACAGAACAAUACAACAGACCCUGUGUGAAGGGAGCUCCCUUCCCUCGUGAGGAGAAUGCAGAAAAGGACACCAACACCUGCUCAGAGAGAAAAAUGAGACUGGCGUCAGGAAUAGGAAAGACCAGAAAGGUGUGAGGGUAGAGACAGCGCCUGACAACUCCAUGGAAGGAGCAGAGGACUCGAGGAGCUCAUUCCUGACCCUCCUAUAAUCCAGAAGCAGCCACCCCAUGAUAUUUUGAGAGUUCCUGGGUUUGUUUAAGAAGUAUAAACAGUUUUUAAAAGAGAACAGUGUAUACUUCUUCUAUUAUUUGCAAAUUGCCUUGGAGAAAGACCGCUGCCCACCUCUGUUUGUGAAACUGAAAGGAUAGCGUAAGCGAGAGGAGGAGCCAGCGUGCAGGGAAGAGAAGUGACGCGAGCGGCCUCCCCUCCAGGAGCUCCAUCAGCAGCCAGUCCUCCCUCAUUUUCAAGUGGGGGUCACUGAGUGAAAGAACACAGUGACCCGGGCCACAGGGGCCCUCCUCCUCCUCCUCCAUCACUUCUCCCAGCCCCUUGCUCGGGUCCCUGUGAGCCCACAGGAGGCGGCCAGCCCACAGCGCCACAGUCCCUCCUGGUCUGCCCUCCCACUUCCCUGCGCUCCUCGUCCAGCCUGGAUACCAAUGUCCAUGCCCAGACACCCCAGACCCUGUGCCCCUCUCCUCCUGAAACAGUCCCAUCCCUGGAUGACCCCACACACGUCCUUGGCUGGCCGCAGCCGUCACUUCAUUUGCCUACUUUUUCGUCAUCUACCAUUAAUUCAUCUUCAAACUCUCCACAAGAAAUGCUCAUCUCCUCACGCCAAGUUCAAAAACACGAGGUAACCCAUCUGUUUCCUUCUUGGAGACAUCCGUCCUGGGCCUUGCUAUCCUCCUGCUUCAAUCUGGACCAAUGACUUUUCUAGACCUACUGCCCAGCUAGACACUUGUCAAUUUUAUUGGUCCUUUCCAAAACCAACAUUUUACUUUGUUGAUAAUAUUGAAUUUUUUGUUUUCUGUCUCUUUACUUUCAGCUCUUUACUUUUCCUUCCUUCUGCUUUCCUUGAAUUUAUCCUGUUGUUAUCCUAAGCUCAUUAAUGUUCAGCCUUUUACUGUUGUUCUAAUAUAAGCAUUUAAGGUUAAAAAUGUCCUUUUGAUGGUAUCCUAUAAGCUUCGAUUUGCAGUGUUUAUUUGUAGGAUUUUUAUUAUCAUUCAGUUUAAAUUUUUUCUAAUUUGUUUUCUGAUUUCUUUUUGACUCAUGAAUUAUGUAGAAGUAUAUUUCCUGUUUCCCAAAUGCACGGGGGUUCUCUCUGUUUUUGUUAUUGAUUUCAACUUAAUUGCAUUAUGGUCAGAGAAUGUGGUCGAUAUGAGAAUUCUUAGAAAUUUGUUCAGACUUGCUUUAUGACCCACUACAUGGUCACUUUUCAUAAAUGGCUUAUACAUGCUUGAAAAGAAUAUGUAUUUCUUUUCAUUUGUUGAGAGCAAUGUCCCAUAGGUUGGCAUUAAAGAAGUUUGUUAAUUCUGCUGUUCAAAUCUUUCCUGUCCUUACUUUUAAAAACUAUUUCACCUAUCAGUUAUUGAAAGGUAUUAAAGUGUCCUGCAUGAUUUCUAUUUCUGCUUUGUAGUUCUCUCAAGUUUUGCUGAAUAUAUUUUGCAUGAAUAGAAUGUUGUUGGUUGCAUAAAAGUUUAGAAUUGUGAUAUGUUCCUGGUGAAUUAAACCUUUUAUAAUUUUUUAGAGACUGUCUAUCCAUAGUAAUGGUUUUGCUUUAAAACCUAUUUUGUGGGGCC
Long non-coding RNA from Equus asinus (donkey), 2308 nucleotides. The record is from Ensembl. Lineage: Eukaryota; Metazoa; Chordata; Mammalia; Perissodactyla; Equidae.